AUGGAGAGUGUUGAAGCUGCAAGUGCAAACUCCGGGAGAGUUGGGAUCAUUGUUUGGACCAAUGCCAUGACAAAAACCAUGCUUGGUUUUUUGACUAGUCUUGUUGCUGAUGGGAAGAGAAUGUCAAGUGGCUUCAGGGACGUGCAUCAUAGACAAUGUGCUAUUGUUUUGAACAAGCAAUUCAAGCUUUCUGUCACCGGAGAGCAAGUCAAAAACCAUCUCAAGAAGUGGAGGAAGAUUUGGACGAAGGUGGUCAAUUUGAAGAAUUUAAGUGGAGCUCUAUGGGAUGAAGAUACUUGCACAAUUAGGCUCAGCGAGGAGCACUAUGCAGGGCAUUGUAUGACCCACAAAGCUGAUGCCCCCUUCCUGAAUACCCCAAUUGAGCACUAUCAUGCCAUGGCUGCCAUUUAUGGGACAAUUGGGGCCAAGGGGCUGAAUGGCAGAUCUGGCAAUGAUCUUCUUUUCAUUGAUCUUGAAGACGAGGAGAACAGUGAGGUCAACACGUCACCAAAUGUUGGUGAAUCUUCUAUCCCCAAAGCACCACCAAAAAAGAAGGCUAAGGUAAAGCAUGUUCCUGAAGAUCCACUUAAUUUAAUUCUUAAAGAUGGGUUCAAACUUGUGGCUGAUGCGCUUGUGAAGUCUAGUGGAGAUGAUGAUGACAUACCAUAUGACCUUUGGGAUGUAGUCUCCACAUUGCCAGAUUUUAAUGAAGAGCACGUAGCCCACUACUAUGCGCAUCUUGUGGACAACCCAAAGACUGCAAGAGCCUUCAUGAAACUUUCCCAAACCAACAAGUCUGUUUGGGUGAGUAGGUAUAUCAAGAAGAACUUCUAA
RNAcentral lists this ribosomal RNA (834 nucleotides) under Triticum aestivum (bread wheat). RNAcentral's name for it is "partial small subunit ribosomal RNA". The record is from RNAcentral. Lineage: Eukaryota; Viridiplantae; Streptophyta; Magnoliopsida; Poales; Poaceae.